Non-coding RNA from Tetranychus urticae (two-spotted spider mite), 1398 nucleotides. NCBI's taxonomy places the organism in Eukaryota, Metazoa, Arthropoda, Arachnida, Trombidiformes, Tetranychidae. The record is from RefSeq and is a predicted model, not a curated record.
AGGUAUCUUUAAUCUGAUCUUGAUCUUUAAACAUAUGAGUUACAUUGAAAUUGUUACAGUAAUUGCCAAAUGGUAUUUGUAUUAAGUGAGGAAAAAGGUUGAAAAUUAAAAUAUGUGAAAAAUGUGUAAACUUAAUUUGCAAAAUGUUAAACGAUGAAGUAUUAUUGAUCAUUAUUAUUAUUGAUGCCCUAACUCUGGUGUGAUUAUUGUUUACUGGUUAAAGAUGAGGAAGAUGGCAACGAACAAGAUGAACGAAAAUGGGAUUGACUGUUGGCUGUUGUUUAUUUUAAAUUGAACUAUGUUAACCCCUGCUAUGAAAACAAGACAACCCUCAAGGUUAACUGUUAGCUUGUAAACUGUAGGGAGCCAACUGCGAAAGUGAGAAAAAUGAGGAUACUUAUUUCACCUUUGAGAUGACCUUAGGUCAAGUAAAGAAAAAACAAACUAAAGGCGAAGGUAAAUUACAAGAACAAGAUACAGUUUGAUGACGGUAAUCGCUUUUUUUUCAGUUAGGCUUUCAUUGUGCCUGAGCUGGACGAAUUUUCUGGUACGCUUUUCCUGGUCAUGGAUCGAUCAAAAACAAUAUUGAUUAGCGAAGAGCAAUUAACAAGUGACAGUGACCAAAACUAAAAAACCAAAGAUAAUCCAAAUGACGGUUGACUUGAAGGCUGGUUGUUAUCCAGCUAUUGUCCAGUUCCAGUAACUUUCUCAACAUAUUGGUAAUCAUCUAAUGAUCUUAAUAUUGGCCCAUAAAAUGUUAUCCACUUCACUAGAGAAGUCGUAUUUGCAUAAUCGAGUUUUCAAUGUAUUUGAAAAGGUGAUACAAUGCUACGAGAAAACGAGCGAGCUUAUUCUACUGUUUGCAAAAUUUUCCAUGUUUAUCAUUCUGAUUUUCACAUCUGAUGUGGCGGUGAAUGGGUUGUCAUGAACAAAUUUUGUCAUUUAUAUUUAAUUUAAUAAUCACGAUAUAUCGCAUAGCUAAUUGUUCUUGAAAAAAGUUAUCAACAAGCAAAAUUAAUCUUACCUCCAGACUAACUCUGAUUGCUUGACUCAAAAUAUUUUUUCGGAUGCAGAGCUCAUUACUAAUAAGUUAUUAGAGAUUGCAAUAUUUAUUUAUUGUAAUCAGUGUACCUAGUUAGACACUUCACAGAAUCUCACGAAAGGUAAUCUUGAUCGUAUCUGAAAUUUAGUCAAAAUACAAUUUAAUGAUUGAUUUGAAAAUUUUUCAUUCUGUUGACGAAAUGUAGGUUGCGCCCAAAAAACUGUUUAAAAUUGUGCAGGAGGCGCCAUCUGAUGUUUCAAAAAAGCAAUAAAUUUGCGAAAUAAUCAGGGAAAUGGUUAAUGCUUACAGAACAAACAUUGUAAUAAACAAAUAUAAUUUGUUAUUUUUAUAUUGAA